GGUCGAUGGACGGAAGUGUGAACCAGCCAAGUAGCGUGCAGGAUGUGACGGCCCUAUGGGUGUGUAAACUGCUUUUGUUGGGGAGUAAAGUGGGGCACGCGUUGCCUUUUUGCAUUUACCCUUCGAAUAAGGACCGGCUAAUUCCGUGCCAGCAGCCGCGGUAAUACGGAAGGUCCAGGCGUUAUCCGGAUUUAUUGGGUUUAAAGGGAGUGUAGGCGGUCUGUUAAGCGUGUUGUGAAAUUUAGGUGCUCAACAUCUACCUUGCAGCGCGAACUGGCGGACUUGAGUGCACGCAACGUAUGCGGAAUUCAUGGUGUAGCGGUGAAAUGCUUAGAUAUCAUGACGAACUCCGAUUGCGAAGGCAGCGUACGGGAGUGUUACUGACGCUUAAGCUCGAAGGUGCGGGUAUCGAACAGGAUUAGAUACCCUGGUAGUCCGCACGGUAAACGAUGGAUGCCCGCUGUUAGCGCCUGGCGUUAGCGGCUAAGCGAAAGCAUUAAGCAUUCCACCUGGGGGAGUACGCCGGCAACGGUGAAACUCAAAGGGAAUUGACGGGGGGCCCGC
This 564-nucleotide ribosomal RNA is filed under the name Prevotella intermedia. RNAcentral's name for it is "bacterial SSU rRNA". It matches the Rfam family "Bacterial small subunit ribosomal RNA", at positions 366 to 924 of the family's 1533-position model. Lineage: Bacteria; Pseudomonadati; Bacteroidota; Bacteroidia; Bacteroidales; Prevotellaceae. The record is from RNAcentral.